CUAGAGUGGUAACAAGUAGCCAAAAGGAGAAUAAGAAAACUGAGCGAAUCCUCAAAGAGAGUCGGGACCUGGCACGUUCAUCGAGAGGCUGCAGAGGAACGUCCAAGAAACAGUUGAAAAGGCAACAACUUUGAAUCAGACUUUGUAUGAAGAUUUCCAGCUGCCCAGCUUGAUGCUUGAGAAUAUGCAGCAGAACAUUUCAUCUUUGCUCAAAACCAUACAGAAAAGGCACUUCAUGCAGUUGUACCAAAAUGUCACCCUGGAACUCAAGGCUGCUCAAGACUUACUGUCAUAAAUUCAGAAAGCAUACCAGAAGCCACAGGAAGAGUUGGAAGUGUUGAAAGAAAUAGCAAGCCGGCUCCUGGCCGAGCAGUGGACAGCUGCAGGCGGCCAGGACACUAGUGAAGGACGCAGAGGGAAAGAGCCAGGAAAGCGACCGUCUGCUGCUCGUGGCCAGCGCCAACCUGAGAGAGUUUGAGGUAUUGCAUCGGAACUGAGUAAAUUGAGAAAUACAGCAAACAUUUCAAAAGAACGCUGAUAAAAUUACCAGGCAGACCAAUGAAUCACUCUCGAUACAUAGAGCAAUUCCUGAAGAUGUGGGACACCAAGGAGCCAGAACUAAAGAGCUGGCCACAUCUGUAAACAGGAGCGCUGUGAGCACGCUGGCAGAUGUGGCAGGGGGUUGAGCUGGAAGCUGCUCGACACGUCGACUGGCCUGUCCGGGGUCAACGCCACAUUGCGAGAGACAAACAAGCUCCUGCAUGACUCGAACCUGACCACUCUGUUAGUGGAAAGAAAAAAGAUGUGGAAACACAAGCCAACCUUCUAUUUGAUCAGUUGAAACCUUUGAAGAUUUUAGAAGAGAAUCUGAACAGAAACCUUUCCGAAAUUAAACUGCUGAUCAGCCAGGCCCGGAAACAAGCAGCUUCUAAAUCUCCUGUCGUGAAGGUAACCAUUUCAGAGACUGCAUGGGAGAAGCUUUCUUAAAUGGAAAAUCCAUCAGCCUGUGGAACCACCUAGAAAAGGAGGGUAAAUGUCACGGCUGCUU
Long non-coding RNA from Nycticebus coucang (slow loris), 1048 nucleotides. RefSeq lists it as uncharacterized. The record is from RefSeq and is a predicted model, not a curated record. The transcript is spliced from 7 exons. Lineage: Eukaryota; Metazoa; Chordata; Mammalia; Primates; Lorisidae.